RNAcentral lists this ribosomal RNA (401 nucleotides) under uncultured bacterium. RNAcentral describes it as "bacterial SSU rRNA". It matches the Rfam family "Bacterial small subunit ribosomal RNA", at positions 362 to 775 of the family's 1533-position model. The record is from RNAcentral.
UAUUGCACAAUGGGCGCAAGCCUGAUGCAGCAACGCCGCGUGAGGGAUGACGGCCUUCGGGUUGUAAACCUCUUUUAGUAGGGAAGAAGCGUAAGUGACGGUACCUGCAGAAAAGGCACCGGCUAACUACGUGCCAGCAGCCGCGGUAAUACGUAGGGUGCAAGCGUUGUCCGGAAUUAUUGGGCGUAAAGAGCUCGUAGGCGGCUUGUCGCGUCUACGGUGAAAUCCAGGAGCUCAACCCCGGGCCUGCAGUGGGUACGGGCAGGCUAGAGUGCGGUAGGGGAGAUUGGAAUUCCUGGUGUAGCGGUGGAAUGCGCAGAUAUCAGGAGGAACACCAAUGGCGAAGGCAGAUCUCUGGGCCGCUACUGACGCUGAGGAGCGAAAGCAUGGGGAGCGAACAG